GGGGCGCAGCAGGCGCGAAAACUCCACACUGUACGACAGUACGAUGGGGUUAUCUCGAGUGCAGUCCGAUAAGGGCUGCUUUUCCAUAGAGUAAUAUCCUGUGGGAAUAAGAGGGGGGCAAGACUGGUGUCAGCCGCCGCGGUAACACCAGCCCCUCGAGUGGUGGGGACUACUAUUUGGUCUAAAGCGUCCGUAGCUGGCUGUAUCCGUCCCCCGUUAAAUCCAGCGUCCUAAACGUUGGACUGCGGGUGAUACCAUACAGCUAGAGGGUGGGAUAGGUGAGCGGUAUUUCUGGGGUAGGGGCGAAAUCCUUUGAUCCCAGGAGGACCACCAGUGGCGAAGGCUGCUCACUAGAACACGCCUGACGGUCAGGGACGAAAGCUGGGGCAGCGAACCGGAUUAGAUACCCGGGUAGUCCCAGCUGUAAACGAUGCUAGCUAGGUGUUGGGUCGGCCACGCGCCGCCCCAGUGCCGCAGGGAAGCCGUUAAGCUAGCCACCUGGGGAGUACGGCCGCAAGGCUGAAACUUAAAGGAAUUGG
RNAcentral lists this ribosomal RNA (539 nucleotides) under uncultured archaeon. RNAcentral describes it as "bacterial SSU rRNA". It matches the Rfam family "Archaeal small subunit ribosomal RNA", at positions 327 to 868 of the family's 1478-position model. The record is from RNAcentral.